GUUUUGUGCGAAACAUGCAAGGUAAAUUAUGAUUUCAUAAAACCUGUAUGGACCAUGAAUUUCAAUCAGUAAGAAAAAUAAUUGUAAUGAAAAUAAUUUAGCCAUGUGGGUAAGAUAUCCUGUGGCAACUAUUUCAAGAAUGAGGUGUUACAAAUGUUAUACUGUACUGUGUCUGUUCGUUUGGGAAUGAUCAUUUUAUUCUUCUUAUAAACCAAUUAAAGAUAUAAAAAUUAA
Molecule: non-coding RNA, 234 nt
Organism: Zootermopsis nevadensis
Lineage: Eukaryota; Metazoa; Arthropoda; Insecta; Blattodea; Termopsidae
Source: RefSeq, a predicted model, not a curated record